Vespula pensylvanica (western yellowjacket) is the source of this 914-nucleotide long non-coding RNA. RefSeq lists it as uncharacterized. The record is from RefSeq and is a predicted model, not a curated record. Lineage: Eukaryota; Metazoa; Arthropoda; Insecta; Hymenoptera; Vespidae. The transcript has 3 exons.
UGUAUUAUAAGAAUAUUAUAAGAAUAUAUUUCAUUUUUAUUGCAUUUAAUAUUACUUUUAUCUUCUAAACAUUACUUAUAUCUACAUAUUCUUUUUUACAAACAAUCUUGGUUAGUGUAUGUGCGUCUGUCGCAAUUCAGACUAAACAUUAUUCAUAUUUUGAGCUAUGACGAAUAAUAGUUGUUCUAAUGGAACUUGUAUAGAAAGUUUUAUGUCUUAUUUCGUAUAUUAGAAUCAGUGCAUCAUGGAAGAUAAUCAAGAAUGUAAUAUGGAACAAUACUGAUCAUUAUUACUCUCUCAAGUGAAUCUAUUACAAUUUCAACCAAUUUUGUUUUCAUCCUUCUUUGAUGUUUAUCUAUCACAUUUGAGACCUGCUACGAACCGAUCAACUUUUUUUAUCAUUGACCUACAACGCAGAGGAGUGUUAAGAGCUACUGUAGAACAUCUUAAGUGUGCUUGAUUGGAAGUCGUGCCAGCAAUAAAAAUAUUCAUUGACAAAUAAAAUUAAAACUAUAUUUAUUAUUAUAACUAUUACUAUUAUAGUUAUUAUAAUUAUUAUGGGAUCAUUGGACGUAUAGACAGAAUACGAAGCUUUGUAAAGUAAUAAAAGAAUAUAUAUUUUAAACCUAGAGUGAAAAUACAAUGAUGCAGUCUUCUAACUGUUAGAUCGUGCGUCUUCUGUCGAAAGAAAAAGAAACGACGUGUCUCGUCUUAUAGCGUCAUUAUGUUCGUAUUGAUUCGGUUUCUUAUCGUCGUUGAUUAACGUCUGUCGCAUCCUUUCCUUGGUAUCGGCUACGUUUUUGUCGGUAACUAUUAUAAAUCAAUAGUAUCAUAACCUGAAUAGCACAAAUUAAUUGGCAAAUUAUUGAUUGCUGUAUAUAUGAUAUUUUUUAUAAACCUAUAUGAAAGAUAUA